AGCACACACCAAAAUAUUAAUUUCACUUCAACAAUGGAAAAAGUGAUGAUUAUUAUGCUUUUCAUCUCAGCACAGGACUUUGUGUGCUGGGGGCAAGACAAAGUUGAACAGCCUUCUGAAGAAAUGACUGCAGAUGAAGGAGAUCCAGUCACUCUACAGUGCAAUUAUUCUACCAGUGCUACAAAUGUAUAUAUUUACUGGUACAAACAGCUACCAAACAGAUCACCAACAUUCAUGCUGAGUAAAUUUAGUUUUGGUCAAGGAAAUACUGAGGAUGAAUUUAAGGACAGAUUUUCUGCAACACUAGACUCCAAAUCAAAAACAGUUCCACUCACAAUCCAGGAUGUGCGUGUGUCUGACUCUGCUGUGUACUACUGUGCUCUGCAGCCCACAGUGACUGAAACACACUCAACACUCACACAAAAAGUGUAUCUACCACAAUCCAGUCCUGUCAUCAUAAUAUAAUCACAAACACCACAUACAAUCCAAAAAAUAAAAAAUCUGCA
This is a non-coding RNA of Carassius auratus (goldfish), 506 nucleotides long. The record is from the annotation of a RefSeq genome assembly. Lineage: Eukaryota; Metazoa; Chordata; Actinopteri; Cypriniformes; Cyprinidae.